AUUGAACGCUGGCGGCAGGCCUAACACAUGCAAGUCGAACGAGCGGCGGACGGGUGAGUAAUGUAUGGGGAUCUGCCUGAUAGAGGGGGAUAACUACUGGAAACGGUGGCUAAUACCGCAUACUAUCGGAUGUACCCAUAUGGGAUUAGCUAGUGGGUGGGGUAACGGCUCACCUAGGCGACGAUCCCUAGCUGGUCUGAGAGGAUGAUCAGCAACACUGGAACUGAGACACGGCCCAGACUCCUACGGGAGGCAGCAGUGGGGAAUAUUGCACAAUGGGCGCAAGCCUGAUGCAGCCAUGCCGCGUGUAUGAAGAAGGCCUUAGGGUUGUAAAGUACUUUCAGCGGGGAGGCGUUACCCGCAGAAGAAGCACCGGCUAACUCCGUGCCAGCCGCCGCGGUAAUAC
Molecule: ribosomal RNA, 406 nt
Filed under: uncultured bacterium
Lineage: Bacteria
Description: partial 16S ribosomal RNA
Rfam family: Bacterial small subunit ribosomal RNA
Source: RNAcentral